AAGGGCUCAGGCAUUAUCCGCGUGACAUCGAGGACGUACCAGGGAAGAGAAACCUUCCAAGGUUGGAAAUGAAGGGAGAAAUGCGAGGUGGGUGAGAUGGGGAGGGACGGCAAGCAGCGCGAAUAACGGGAUACGAAACCGAGCAACAUUGAACAAUCUCAACAACCAGUUUUGAAAACUUUUGCGCAAUCGUUUUCGGCAGUGUAUAUGUAUUAUUGAAUAUGAGAUAUUGCAUUCAUCUCAUAGAAUUGUAGAAUUGCUGGUGGCGAAUGGAUAAAAAUCAUUCAAGACAAGAGCAAAAAAAAGAAGAAGAGGGAAAAAAAAGCAACCACUCGGGUACCUUGUAUGUAAAUAACCUGUAACUAGCAUGCCAAUAGUCAUUUGGAGAAAUGCUCAUUGGCACAAUCCACAGCAACAGGCGAGAAACGACAACACAAGCGACACUGCCGCUGCUGCUGCUGCUCAACACUCACAGCAGGACGAUAGAUAGGGACGACGAUUGGCAUUAAUAGAGAGGAGAAGAAGACGAAGAGUAAGCAGGACAACCGAAAUUCUGCCUGGGAAUUCGCCUCCUCCCUCCUCCCUCCUCCCUCUCCGUCUCCCUCUCCGCCUCCUCCGGUUGCUGUGGGCUGGCUGGCAACUCCCUCGUCCUGCCCCGUGCUGUUUGUUCCUUGUCCUUGUCCAGCUCCUUUAUUCUGUCAGUUUGUUUGUUUGUUUAGUAGCAGAGUCUCCUCCUCCUCUUCCUGCCGCCGCCGCCGCUGUUGCUACUGCCGUUGUUGCUGCUGUGUCUGUGUCUGCUUCUUCCAUUUCUUACUUCCUGACUUGGGUUGGGUUGUCUUGGUCCCGUGUGUCCGCACUCCCUCCAUCAACGUCACUCUGGCACAACUAACCAACCACCAGCAACAUCACCGCCAACCUCUCCUCCCUCUUCACUCCUCCAUCACCAGCCGCAUUCACCACCUGCACCACAACCACUCACCACAAUACUCAUCAUCACCACACUCCUCUACUCCUCUACUCCUCUACUCCUCUACUCCUCUACUCCUCUACUCCUCUACUCCUCUACUCCUCUACUCCUCUACUCCUCUACUCCUCUUCUCCUCCUGUCCUCCUCUUAAACCAUUUCUCCCUAACCUCUUCCGCUUCCCCUCCACUCGUACUCCUCCUCCACUUCGUCCUCCUAUACAUACCACCCACCUCGUCCCGCUUCCCUAGCAACCAUACUACCUACAUAUACGCUGUGCCUAUUUGCGAUCCUCUAUACCCCUCACUGUAACUGCAGUGACUGCCGCUCCACCCUUGAUCAUUGUCCUGUUUUCACACUUGCUCGCUUGUGAACACACACACAAACAAUUCACACAUCAUUCAUUCAAGUAUUCAGUCAUUCACUCAUUCAAUCUACUUAUCCUCUCACACAUCACUCUUCAAUCUGGCUCACUUCCUUCUCUUCUUCUUUCCUCUGCCACUUGUGUUCAUUCUACAGGUGCAGAUCUCCACAGUCCACUUUAAAGAAAACCACAUACUAGCUCUUAGUUAAGCUUUG
RNAcentral lists this small RNA (1543 nucleotides) under Histoplasma capsulatum. RNAcentral describes it as "hypothetical RNA". RNAcentral also lists the same sequence under 1 other name. The record is from RNAcentral. Lineage: Eukaryota; Fungi; Ascomycota; Eurotiomycetes; Onygenales; Ajellomycetaceae.